AUGAAAGGUGCUACAGAGGACACUGUACGGGUCAUGUUUUACCAUGGUAACCAGGAGUCUGAUGUUGGAGGAGAGCAGUGGAUCGAGGAGCAGUGCCCACAGCUGUGCUGUGGAGAAGACGUGGAAGACAGAGCUGAGAAGUGCAGUGGAUGCACAGAGGUGGUGCAGCCGUGGUGCCCAGCACGCCGCCCAGCCUGGAUUCGGCCGAUGGUGCAUCAGUCCAUACAAAUCCAUCCAGGUGAUGUGCGGAUGACUUUGGCAACAUUUUGGUGGAACUCCAGGCAUGUUUGA
Molecule: long non-coding RNA, 291 nt
Filed under: Anas platyrhynchos platyrhynchos (common mallard)
Lineage: Eukaryota; Metazoa; Chordata; Aves; Anseriformes; Anatidae
Description: lncRNA (ENSAPLG00000017174.1)
Source: RNAcentral